Molecule: unclassified non-coding RNA, 23 nt
Filed under: synthetic construct
Source: RNAcentral
UUAAUAUGGACUGAUGCCCUUCA